GCCAGGUGUGGUGGUGCGCGCCUGUAAUCCCAGCUACUUGGGAGGCUGAGGCAGGGAAAUCACUUGAACCCGGGAGGUGGAGGUUGCAGUGAGCCGAGAUGGUGCCACUGCACUCCAGCCUGGGUGACAGAGGGAGACUCUGUCUCAA
This 148-nucleotide non-coding RNA is filed under the name Gorilla gorilla gorilla (western lowland gorilla). The record is from Rfam by way of RNAcentral. Lineage: Eukaryota; Metazoa; Chordata; Mammalia; Primates; Hominidae.